CCAGACUCCUACGGGAGGCAGCAGUGGGGAAUAUUGCACAAUGGGGGGAACCCUGAUGCAGCGACGCCGCGUGGGCGAGGAAGUAUUUCGGUAUGUAAAGCCCUAUCGGCAGGGAAGAAGAAAUGACGGUACCUGAGUAAGAAGCACCGGCUAAAUACGUGCCAGCAGCCGCGGUAAUACGUAUGGUGCAAGCGUUAUCCGGAUUUACUGGGUGUAAAGGGAGCGCAGGCGGCACGGCAAGCCUGAUGUGAAAGCCCGCGGCCCAACCGCGGGACUGCUCUUGGAAGUGCGUGGCUAGAGUGCAGGAGGGGCAGGCGGAAUUCCUGGUGUAGCGGUGAAAUGCGUAGAUAUCAGGAGGAACACCGGUGGCGAAGGCGGCCUGCUGGACUGCAACUGACGUUGAGGCCCGAAAGCGUGGGGAGCAAACAGGAUUAGAUACCCCCGUAU
This 447-nucleotide ribosomal RNA is filed under the name uncultured bacterium. Its description in RNAcentral is "partial 16S ribosomal RNA". It matches the Rfam family "Bacterial small subunit ribosomal RNA", at positions 331 to 793 of the family's 1533-position model. The record is from RNAcentral.